RNAcentral lists this ribosomal RNA (676 nucleotides) under Usnocetraria oakesiana. RNAcentral's name for it is "SSU rRNA". It matches the Rfam family "Bacterial small subunit ribosomal RNA", at positions 284 to 946 of the family's 1533-position model. The record is from RNAcentral. Lineage: Eukaryota; Fungi; Ascomycota; Lecanoromycetes; Lecanorales; Parmeliaceae.
UAGUCGUAACUGAAAGGUUGAUCGACCACAGUGGGCCUGAAUAAAGCCCAUGACGAUUGUCACAGCAGUGAGGAAUAUUGGUCAAUAGCCUAACGGCUGAACCAGCAACUUGGAGGAAUGUAUAGCAAUAGCUACUUGCAUCAUUGUAAUAUGAUGCAAGAUCGACUAUGUCGAAUAAAAUUCUAGGUAGAAUUAUGAUAAUGACAUUGUCUGCCUAUGUGUCUUGACCAAAUUACGUGCCAGCAGUCGCGGUAAUACCGUAGAAGACUAGUGUUAUUCAUGUUUAAUCGGUUUAAAGGGUACCUAGACGGUAAAUAAAGCCUAAAAGGAAAGAAAUAAAGGGACUAAUUUACUAGAGUUACUUAUGAGGGGGUAUUAAAGUACUGCUGGUGUAGAGAUGAAUUCUGUCAUACCUCUUUUCAAUAGAAAAAUAACGGCACAGGUAUAGGCGAAGGCAUCCCCUUAUGUGAUAACUGACGUUGAGGGACGAAGGCUUUGUGUAGCGAACAGGAUUAGAUACCCCAGUAGUCAAAGCAGAAAAUGAUGAAUGUCAUAGAUUAGAUGUAUAAGUUUAUUCUAUAAAUGAAAGUGUAAGCAUUCCCCUCAAGAGUAAUUUGGCAACAUUGGAACUGAAAUCAUUAGACCGUUUCUUGAAACAGUAGUGAAGUAUGUUGUU